This 221-nucleotide ribosomal RNA is filed under the name uncultured Variovorax sp. RNAcentral describes it as "partial 16S ribosomal RNA". It matches the Rfam family "Bacterial small subunit ribosomal RNA", at positions 134 to 355 of the family's 1533-position model. The record is from RNAcentral. Lineage: Bacteria; Pseudomonadati; Pseudomonadota; Betaproteobacteria; Burkholderiales; Comamonadaceae.
UCGUGGGGGAGUAACGCAGCGAAAGCUGUGCUAAUACCGCAUACGAUCUACGGAUGAAAGCAGGGGAUCGCAAGACCUUGCGCGAAUGGAGCGGCCGAUGGCAGAUUAGGUAGUUGGUGAGGUAAAGGCUCACCAAGCCUUCGAUCUGUAGCUGGUCUGAGAGGACGACCAGCCACACUGGGACUGAGACACGGCCCAGACUCCUACGGGAGGCAGCAGCU